This 71-nucleotide transfer RNA is filed under the name Herelleviridae sp. RNAcentral describes it as "tRNA-Gln". It matches the Rfam family "tRNA". From Rfam's summary of the family: Transfer RNA (tRNA) molecules are approximately 80 nucleotides in length. Their secondary structure includes four short double-helical elements and three loops (D, anti-codon, and T loops). The record is from RNAcentral. Lineage: Duplodnaviria; Heunggongvirae; Uroviricota; Caudoviricetes; Herelleviridae.
UCCCAGAUAGUGUAAAGGCAGCACAUCGGGUUUUGAUCCCGAGAAUCUAGGUUCGACCCCUAGUCUGGGAG